UGCUACUGGCUACAUACGGUGGCUACGUUUUGCGCGGGUUGCUAUGUUCCAUGCUCUCUUAACCAAUCAGCAGGUUUAUUGUGCUGCACUAAAGUAGCGGACCGUGGGUGAACUUGGCUCUAAAGAUAUAGCUUGUCAUGCCUUGGACAGCCGAGAGCACAGCGUCGAAGGACGAAGAUGACUUCUGGGUCGAGGAAGAAUACGUUCCCACACCUCCAAAAUCAGCCUAUGACUCUAGGCACUGCAACGACCAUGACAGGAGAUCUCGCAGGAGCCAAAGCCAAACUUGCCGACAAGGCGGCCGUCAGUUAUCAGGUUGCAUGCACAAUUGGAGGCAAGGUCCUGAUAAAGGUGCAGAUACUGAGCUCAUGGUUGUUCCUGCAAAAGAAAUUGGCAGGAUCAUUGGUGAGUGUGCUUAUUUCUUGCUGUGACAUAAAUGAUACUUGGGCCCAAGAUCAGUUAGGAGGCUAUGCAGCAGUCAAGAGCCUUUCACGCGCAACCAUAUUUGCUCAGUCGACCUCCCAAUGUC
Molecule: long non-coding RNA, 529 nt
Organism: Rhipicephalus sanguineus (brown dog tick)
Lineage: Eukaryota; Metazoa; Arthropoda; Arachnida; Ixodida; Ixodidae
Exons: 3
Source: RefSeq, a predicted model, not a curated record